Molecule: transfer RNA, 75 nt
Filed under: Felis catus (domestic cat)
Lineage: Eukaryota; Metazoa; Chordata; Mammalia; Carnivora; Felidae
Rfam family: tRNA
About the family: Transfer RNA (tRNA) molecules are approximately 80 nucleotides in length. Their secondary structure includes four short double-helical elements and three loops (D, anti-codon, and T loops). Further hydrogen bonds mediate the characteristic L-shaped molecular structure. tRNAs have two regions of fundamental functional importance: the anti-codon, which is responsible for specific mRNA codon recognition, and the 3' end, to which the tRNAs corresponding amino acid is attached (by aminoacyl-tRNA synthetases). tRNAs cope with the degeneracy of the genetic code in two manners: having more than one tRNA (with a specific anti-codon) for a particular amino acid; and 'wobble' base-pairing, i.e. permitting non-standard base-pairing at the 3rd anti-codon position.
Source: Rfam by way of RNAcentral
GCCUGGCAGGCUCAGUCAGUAGAGCGUGUGACUCUUGAUCUCGGGGGGGUGUGAGUUCAAGCCUCAUGCUGGGCA